RNAcentral lists this ribosomal RNA (497 nucleotides) under uncultured bacterium. Its description in RNAcentral is "partial 16S ribosomal RNA". It matches the Rfam family "Bacterial small subunit ribosomal RNA", at positions 28 to 507 of the family's 1533-position model. The record is from RNAcentral.
GAUGAACGCUGGCGGCGUGCCUAAUACAUGCAAGUCGAGCGAACGGACGAGAAGCUUGCUUCUCUGAUGUUAGCGGCGGACGGGUGAGUAACACGUGGAUAACCUACCUAUAAGACUGGGAUAACUUCGGGAAACCGUAGCUAAUACCGGAUAAUAUUUUGAACCGCAUGGUUCAAAAGUGAAAGACGGUCUUGCUGUCACUUAUAGAUGGAUCCGCGCUGCAUUAGCUAGUUGGUAAGGUAACGGCUUACCAAGGCAACGAUGCAUAGCCGACCUGAGAGGGUGAUCGGCCACACUGGAACUGAGACACGGUCCAGACUCCUACGGGAGGCAGCAGUAGGGAAUCUUCCGCAAUGGGCGAAAGCCUGACGGAGCAACGCCGCGUGAGUGAUGAAGGUCUUCGGAUCGUAAAACUCUGUUAUUAGGGAAGAACAUAUGUGUAAGUAACUGUGCACAUCUUGACGAUACCUAAUCAGAAAGCCAUGGCUAACUACGUG